AGCAGCCGCGGUAAUUCCAGCUCCAAUAGCGUAUAUUAAAGUUGUUGCAGUUAAAAGCUCGUAGUUGAAUUUCGGGAUCAAAGGAUCGGUCAUGCCUUGGUAUGUACUGGUUUUAUUGGUUCUCACCUUCUAAAGAACCAUAAUGUCAUUCAUUUGAUGUUAUGGGGAAUUAGGACUGUUACCUUGAAAAAUUAGAGUGUUUAAAGCAGGCUUACGCUUGAAUACAUUAGCAUGGAAUAAUGAAAUAGGACAUCAGAUUCUAUUUUGUUGGUUUCUAGGAUCGAUGUAAUGAUUAAUAGGGAUAGUUGGGGGCAUUAGUAUUCAAUUGUCAGAGGUGAAAUUCUUGGAUUUAUUGAAGACUAACUACUGCGAAAGCAUUUGCCAAGGAUGUUUUCAUUAAUCAAGAACGAAAGUUUAGGGGAUCGAAGACGAUCAGAUACCGUCGUAGUCUUAACCAUAAACCUAUGCCGACUAGGGAUCGGAUGAUGUUAAUUUUAUAAUGACUCAUUCC
RNAcentral lists this unclassified non-coding RNA (511 nucleotides) under uncultured Glomus. RNAcentral's name for it is "SSU rRNA". It matches the Rfam family "Eukaryotic small subunit ribosomal RNA", at positions 569 to 1082 of the family's 1831-position model. The record is from RNAcentral. Lineage: Eukaryota; Fungi; Glomeromycota; Glomeromycetes; Glomerales; Glomeraceae.